This 437-nucleotide ribosomal RNA is filed under the name uncultured bacterium. Its description in RNAcentral is "bacterial SSU rRNA". It matches the Rfam family "Bacterial small subunit ribosomal RNA", at positions 958 to 1397 of the family's 1533-position model. The record is from RNAcentral.
AACGCGAAGAACCUUACCUAGACUUGACAUCUCCUGAAUUACUCUUAAUCGAGGAAGUCACUUCGGUGACAGGAAGACAGGUGGUGCAUGGUUGUCGUCAGCUCGUGUCGUGAGAUGUUGGGUUAAGUCCCGCAACGAGCGCAACCCCUAUUGUUAGUUGCUACCAUUUAGUUGAGCACUCUAGCGAGACUGCCCGGGUUAACCGGGAGGAAGGUGGGGAUGACGUCAAAUCAUCAUGCCCCUUAUGUCUAGGGCUACACACGUGCUACAAUGGCUGGUACAGAGAGAUGCGAUACCGUGAGGUGGAGCCAAACUUUAAAACCAGUCUCAGUUCGGAUUGUAGGCUGAAACUCGCCUACAUGAAGCUGGAGUUGCUAGUAAUCGCGAAUCAGAACGUCACGGUGAAUACGUUCCCGGGCCUUGUACACACCGCCCGU